CUUCCGUCCCCUUGCUCUCUCUCUCUCGUUUCCCCUCGCCGAACCCACCACCGCACCCCACGCCGCCGCCUUCCCUACCCUUCUCGCCUCCGCCUCCACGCGCGGCCGUCGGAGGCGCCCACGCGGCCGCUUGAUCCAAGGUCAGAUCCGAACCCCAGCCCGGUCCGAAUCGCGCCGAUAUUUUUUCUAGGUUUUGGUACGGAUCUAGGGUUUGCCGCGGAAUUUCGGGUGAGGGGGUUCGUUCGAUUCUCUCAUGGCCGCUGGGCACCACGGAGGGCACAGGGACUACGAGGCGAGGGAGCGGGAGCUCGACGCGGUGGCCUCCAGGAGGAGCAAGGAGCACCACCACCACCUCGGCGGCCGCCACCGCGAGGCCGACUGCCGCCGCGACGGCGGUCACAGCAGGGGUGGCAGGGUGUUCGCCAAUGGCCACGGCCGCUGCCGCUCGCCGCCACACAGGAGCCGCCUCGUGGGGAGGCUUGGGGAUCGGGAGCCCGGUGAGGUGCUGAGCGGCAGCGCGUCUGAUGACUCUGGUGGGAGGCCUCAUAGAGCCAGGGAGAAUGGCGUGUCCAGUUCUAGCAGGGAGGGCGAGGUGGCGGCUGCAGCCACGGCGGUGGGUGCCGCAGUCCCGUCACUGAGCAAGAAGAGGAAAUUCUCACCAAUAAUUUGGGACAGGGAUAGCCCAAAGCCGCCACAUUCUGAUGCAGCAAAGGGCAAGAAAGUAGUAGAAUCCAUGCCUGCUGAGCUUCCUCCGCCUCCCCCGCUGCCUCUGCAUGACCACAGCCCAGUUAUGUUGGAUGUGGAGCCUACUGCUGGUAUAGAGAGUGCUGAACAGUUGCAGGAGCAUGAGGCCAAUAGAGUGCUGGAGGAGGAAGAGGAGUAUCCAAGAAUGAGGAACAUAUCAACUUCAAGAUGGGCGGGUGCUAAUGACGACGAGGAAGACGGGGCAGCACCUACGAAGAAGAAAAGUGCAUCGCCUGCAGACUCCGCUGAGUUGAGGCAGAGGAAAAAGGCUACUAGCCUAGAACUUGGUGAGGUUGUGGUCAGUGAUAUCUCUGGAGGGAGGACCAUGUCUAGGUCCUCUGACUCUGGGAGAAUGGGUAAUGACGAGAAUGAAGAUUAUGAAGUAGAUAAAGAUGACUAUAUGGAUGUUGACAGGGAGCAGGCUAGUGACAGUGAUGCAGAAAAUCAUAUGUCAGAUACUGACUCAGAGAAUGAAGCGCACAGACCUGAGACCCCUGAACCAGUAAAGCCACCACACAGGUGUAUCAAUAUGCUUCAAGGUUGCAGAAGUGUUGAUGAGUUUGAGCAGCUCAACAAGAUUAAUGAAGGCACAUAUGGUGUUGUAUACAGAGCGGAGGAUAAGAAGACAGGUGAGAUUGUGGCGUUGAAGAAGGUAAAGAUGGAGAAGGAGCGAGAAGGUUUCCCAUUAACCUCUCUUAGGGAAAUAAACAUUAUCUUGUCUUUCCAUCAUCCUUCCAUUGUUGAUGUUAAGGAAGUAGUAGUUGGAUCUAGUCUAGAUAGUAUUUUUAUGGUGAUGGAGUACAUGGAACAUGAUCUUAAGGGCGUCAUGGAAACAAUGAAACAACCAUAUACCCAAAGUGAGGUCAAAUGUUUGAUGCUUCAGCUGUUAGAGGGUGUAAAGUAUCUACAUGACAAUUGGGUACUUCAUAGGGACCUGAAGACCUCAAAUCUUUUGCUGAAUAACCGCGGUGAGUUGAAAAUAUGUGAUUUUGGACUGUCUCGUCAAUAUGGGAGCCCACUAAAACCUUAUACUCAAUUGGUUGUGACUUUGUGGUACAGGGCCCCAGAACUAUUGCUAAAAACAAAGGAGUAUUCUACUGCUAUUGAUAUGUGGUCCGUGGGUUGCAUAAUGGCAGAGCUUCUUGCCAAAGAACCAUUAUUCAAUGGAAAAUCAGAACUUGAACAGCUACAUAAGAUAUUUACAACACUUGGCACGCCUGAUGAGAUGAUUUGGCCUGGAUAUGCCAAAUUACCAGGUGUCAAAGCCAAUUUUGUCAAACAACCGUGUAACAGGCUAAGGGAUAAGUUCCCAGCUGUAUCUUUUUCUGGGCGACCAAUCCUGUCUGAAGCUGGUUUUGAUCUGUUGAACGGACUGUUAACUUAUGAUCCUGAUAAGCGUAUCUCAGCAGAUGAUGCUCUGAAGCACAAAUGGUUCUCUGAAGUUCCUCUACCUAAAUCCAAGGACUUCAUGCCGACAUUCCCUGCUCUUAACGAAUUGGACAGGCGUACCAAAAGGUAUUUGAAGAGUCCUGACCCUCUAGAGGAGCAACGUUUGAAAGAACUGCAAGGGAACAUAGGCGACCGUGGGCUUUUUGGCUGACUAAAACUCCUUGCUUGGGUUUUCUGUUCGUACUAACUGUUAUGCUUUAUCCUGAAUCAGCAAGGUCAGAUAUCUUCUGAGGUGAGAUGUGCCAUGGCCAUGAAGUAUCACAUCUUCUCGGUGUCUAGCAGAGACUGAUAGUGUUGUUUAGCAGGCUUGGUGCCGGUUUAAGUGGAUAAGGUUUAUGUUGCAGGAUUAACACUCUCCAUCAAGAUUGAUCAUAAAAGGAAAUAUAUUCUGCCUGCAUCGUAAGCUAAGCUGUGGCUGCUUCAAGAUAGGAAGCUUGAUGGCUGUCAGCUUGUUGUACCUAAGUGACUAAAUUUUGUGGAGGGCCUUCAAAAGUGUUCAUCUUUUACUAUAGUGAACCAUAGUGGUUGUUGCUUAUCUUCAGAUGACAGUUCUAUCUUAGGUUACUGAAAAACAAUAUUUCUGUCUUGCAAACUUGCAAAUGUGCACCCCCCCCCCCCAAGAUAUAUAUUAGUGAAUCAGGGGAAAAUUAGUAUGCUGAGUAUUGCUCUAUGUUCCGUGCCAUUUGAUCGUAUCCUUUCUUUCAUUAAGUUUUUGGUGAGCUUUACAUGGAAUAGAGCUUUUUGGGGUGCAUAAAUUCUGUGCUUCAAAACUUAUGUUGUCCAAGAGAUGUUUGUCGCGGCUCUUGUGUAGUUUUAUUCCGCAUUAUGGCUCACGUAGAUUUACUGGACAAUUUUUGAUAGGUGGUUUGCAGGUCCACAAAUUUUAGCUUAUCUUCCGUACCUUGUGAUGGUUGAUGCUUCCACCAAAUAUUGCACUUGGAUUGCCAACUGCCGCCUGCGAGGUGCACUGAGCCGCUGAUCUCGCUUGCUCGCCCUGGAGUGGCCUCCAGGAUUGCUUUGUCAUUUCAGCGUCGCUCCCUUAAGCCGCGUGCGUUGUGUUCGCUCAAGACAUCCUCGUCUCAGGUCUUCCACGGGGCUUGCUCACAGUCCGUGCCGGGGCUCGGGUGAGAUGAGAUCACGUCGGAGGCUGAUAUUGCAAGGCAGCUCACAGUCUGCAUGGAAAAAGUGGAACUACAUGCAUCAUCGCAAGAGAAAAGUAGCAUAUGCACGAACUAACACAUACCCGGAGGCCGGAGCGGCAGUGUGGACCGCUCGAAAGUGCAUUGUGUGGACGCCCCUCUCUAAGAAAAAUAAAUAAAGCGUAGCGUGUAAUGUACUGCUACUUUACUUUUUGCAUCUGGAGGAAUGAUCCAUGUGACUACUGCCUAUUCGAUAUGACAGGGGUAAAAAUAUGUUAAGCAUC
Phragmites australis (common reed) is the source of this 3616-nucleotide RNA transcript. It is a transcript of the gene named cyclin-dependent kinase G-2-like, with no coding region annotated. The transcript is spliced from 11 exons. The record is from RefSeq and is a predicted model, not a curated record. Lineage: Eukaryota; Viridiplantae; Streptophyta; Magnoliopsida; Poales; Poaceae.